ACAGCUCAGUAACACGUGGACAACCUACCCAAAGGUCUGGGAUAACUCCGGGAAACUGGGGAUAAUACCGGAUAGGUCAAGAGUACUGGAAGGGAUUUUUGAUUGAAAGCUCUGGCGCCUUUGGAUGGGUCUGCGGCUGAUUAGGUUGACGCCGGUGUAAAGUACCGGCGUGCCGAUUAUCAGUACGGGUUGUGGGAGCAAGAGCCCGGAGAUGGAUUCUGAGACACGAAUCCAGGCCCUACGGGGCGCAGCAGGCGCGAAAACUCUACAAUGCAGGCAACUGCGAUAGGGGAACAUCGAGUGGCAUCUACAUUAGGUGUCUGUCCAGCUGUCUAAAAAACGGCUGUUAGCAAGGGCCGGGCAAGACCGGUGCCAGCCGCCGCGGUAAUACCGGCGGCUCGAGUGGUGGCCGAUAUUAUUGAGUCUAAAGGGUCCGUAGCCGGCUUUGCAAGUCUUGUGGGAAAUCCAGCGGCUUAACCGUUGGGCGUCUGCGGGAUACUACAUUGCUUGGGACUGGGAGAGGUAGGAGGUACUCAGGGGGUAGGAGUGAAAUCCUGUAAUCCUCUGGGGACCACCGGUGGCGAAGGCGUCCUACCAGAACAGGUCCGACGGUGAGGGACGAAAGCUAGGGGCACGAACCGGAUUAGAUACCCGGGUAGUCCUAGCCGUAAACGAUGCCCGCUAGGUGUCACGGCAGUCGUGAACUGCCGUGGUGCCGUAGGGAAGCCGUGAAGCGGGCCACUUGGGAAGUACGACCGCAAGGUUGAAACUUAAAAGGAAUUGGCGGGGGAGCAC
RNAcentral lists this ribosomal RNA (795 nucleotides) under uncultured archaeon. RNAcentral describes it as "bacterial SSU rRNA". It matches the Rfam family "Archaeal small subunit ribosomal RNA", at positions 85 to 879 of the family's 1478-position model. The record is from RNAcentral.